Molecule: long non-coding RNA, 728 nt
Filed under: Zonotrichia albicollis (white-throated sparrow)
Lineage: Eukaryota; Metazoa; Chordata; Aves; Passeriformes; Passerellidae
Description: lncRNA (ENSZALG00000014205.1)
Source: RNAcentral
UCUUGAUUUGUCUUUACAUAAAUGAGGAAAGCACUGUGAAUAAUUUAUUGCAUUGUUUUAAUACUUGUUUAUUCUUGUUUUAUAAGUUGUGGUGGGAGACUCUUUUACAUUUUCCCCUUUGUUUUGUCAUUCUAACCAUGUAGCUUGGCUUCUGCUUCUCAAGGAACUCUAAAGGGAAUAAAAUAACCCUAAAGUAUGGAUUAUCUCUGCUGUUGGAGUUUUGAAAUCUCAGGACCCAAGAUGGAACAUGGGGCAAAAACUGAUGCUGUGCUCCAGAAAUCUGAACUUAAGUCCAAGUGCCAGCAUGGACUUUUACCUCUAUGGGACUUAAUGGCUCUGCCUGAGACUGGGGAGAGGAGGAAUAGCAACUGAUGGUGUUUGCUUGAGGAGCUCCUCCAAGGAAGAGAAGAAAGAGGAGAAGCAGUGUAGGUAUAAGUUGUGAGCCUCAAGUGAGAGUGAAGUCUGGAGAGAGCAGGGAGCAGAAAUAACUCUGCAGUCUUGCAAGGUCAAGGAAGGAUCAAAAUUAUGCAAUUUGAAAGUUAUUUUUUUCCAAUACAAAUUGUUUAGGGUUUAAAGCUCUCCAUAUGUUCCUUUUAGACUUGCUGGAAGAGAAAGAUACAGAGGUCAUGAAAAACUUUGAGUACUAGGUAGUUUGAGCUCCUGUUUUACAUAGGUAUUUUAUUUUUAGAUAAGUGUUGUAAUAAAAGAGCCAAAUAGUAAAUUAAGCA